UCCCAGGUGCCUCAGACGGUAAAGGAGCUGACUGCAAUGCAGGAGACCCAAGUUCAAUCCCUGGGUUGGGAA
This 72-nucleotide transfer RNA is filed under the name Capra hircus (goat). It matches the Rfam family "tRNA". From Rfam's summary of the family: Transfer RNA (tRNA) molecules are approximately 80 nucleotides in length. Their secondary structure includes four short double-helical elements and three loops (D, anti-codon, and T loops). The record is from Rfam by way of RNAcentral. RNAcentral also lists the same sequence under 1 other name. Lineage: Eukaryota; Metazoa; Chordata; Mammalia; Artiodactyla; Bovidae.